Molecule: ribosomal RNA, 444 nt
Filed under: Polydontes luquillensis
Lineage: Eukaryota; Metazoa; Mollusca; Gastropoda; Stylommatophora; Camaenidae
Description: partial 16S ribosomal RNA
Source: RNAcentral
AGUUUAAUGUAUAAUUAUAUUAAAUAAUUUCUGCUCAAUGAUAUUUUAAAUAGCCGCGGUACUCUGACUGUGCAAAGGUAGCAUAAUAAAUUGGCUUUUAAUUAAAGUCUAGAAUGAAUGAAUUUUUGGGUGUUAGCUGUUUUAUAAAAUUUUUAUUUAACUUAAUAAGUAGGUGAAAAUUCCUACUAUAAAUGAAAAAGACGAGAAGACCCUUGAAAUUUUAAUUAUAAGUUUAUAAUUAAACUACUAUUUUUGUUGGGGCAACAAAAUUACAUAUAAACUAAUUUUAUGAAUUUAAAUAGGAAAGAUAAUAACAGGUAAAGUUAAAUUACUCUAGGGAUAACAGCAUAAUUUUAAUAAAGAUUGUGACCUCGAUGUUGGACUAGGAUAUUUAUAUUUAGAAGAUUUAAAAGAUAGUUCUGUUCGAACUUGUACUCCUACAUG